AGUGAACGCUGGCGGUAGGCCUAACACAUGCAAGUCGAACGGCAGCACAGUAAGAGCUUGCUCUUACGGGUGGCGAGUGGCGGACGGGUGAGGAAUACAUCGGAAUCUACUUUUUCGUGGGGGAUAACGUAGGGAAACUUACGCUAAUACCGCAUACGACCUACGGGUGAAAGCAGGAGAUCUUCGGACCUUGCGCGAUUGAAUGAGCCGAUGUCGGAUUAGCUAGUUGGCGGGGUAAAGGCCCACCAAGGCGACGAUCCGUAGCUGGUCUGAGAGGAUGAUCAGCCACACUGGAACUGAGACACGGUCCAGACUCCUACGGGAGGCAGCAGUGGGGAAUAUUGGACAAUGGGCGCAAGCCUGAUCCAGCCAUACCGCGUGGGUGAAGAAGGCCUUCGGGUUGUAAAGCCCUUUUGUUGGGAAAGAAAUCCAGCCGGCUAAUACCUGGUUGGGAUGACGGUACCCAAAGAAUAAGCACCGGCUAACUUCGUG
This 492-nucleotide ribosomal RNA is filed under the name uncultured bacterium. Its description in RNAcentral is "partial 16S ribosomal RNA". It matches the Rfam family "Bacterial small subunit ribosomal RNA", at positions 29 to 507 of the family's 1533-position model. The record is from RNAcentral.